UACGUAGGGAGCAAGCGUUGUCCGGAAUCAUUGGGCGUAAAGCGCGCGUAGGCGGUUUGUCGCGUCGGGAGUGAAAACUCAGGGCUCAACCCUGAGCGUGCUUCCGAUACGGGCAGACUAGAGGUAUGCAGGGGAGAACGGAAUUCCUGGUGUAGCGGUGGAAUGCGCAGAUAUCAGGAGGAACACCGGUGGCGAAGGCGGUUCUCUGGGCAUUACCUGACGCUGAGGAGCGAAAGCAUGGGGAGCGAACAGG
RNAcentral lists this ribosomal RNA (253 nucleotides) under uncultured bacterium. Its description in RNAcentral is "partial 16S ribosomal RNA". It matches the Rfam family "Bacterial small subunit ribosomal RNA", at positions 524 to 776 of the family's 1533-position model. The record is from RNAcentral.